GACAUGGGUUUGUUGGGGACGUUAGGUUUAAGAAAAAAUUCUAUCUUGCCUUUUCCCUUAAUAAAUAUUAAAGCCAACAUUUGCCUUCAUUUCGGACAGUUUGGUUUGCUGACCUGUUACUCUAAUAGGUGUUGAUUUUGGUCACCGAUAUUUUUUUUUAAGUCAAACGUCAACUUGGAGCAAAUCGAUCACUGAGCUGCACUUAUUGAAUAGUCAAAGGUCCACUGAAAGCCGCUCUCCCCUGUUCCCUUUCGUAAAAUGACCUGCCGGCCCCGGGCAGGGGCGAGGGCGGAGGAUCUGAGCUUCCAAGGAGCUGCUGGGGAAGCGCGGCGAGCGGUGCCGCCCCCUGCUGCGUUCUUGCCCGGCGUUUGGAGGUAGGAAGCUCGGGAUGCUCAAGUUCAUCCUGGUGGUGUUCAGACAGUUUUCGAUGCCUGCAACCUGUCCCCUGCGGGGCAACCGGCCUCCAACCCCCGGCUGCGCGCCAUCCCGGGACAGAAAGUUCCCUCCGACUCCAACCCCACUGUGGCCCCCGGAGCUGAGUGUCGCCCACCAGGUGACUCACCGAGAGCCGCCGCCCGCGCUGGAGUUCACCGACCGCGCAGUUGGGCGCGGCGGAACCGACCUGAGCCCUGGUCGCUCUGCCGCGCUGUCCCGGACUGGCCACCGGCCGCCAGCCCCGCGCGCUCUCACUUUCCUGCUAAGGCCUCGGGUUCGAAAAUGUGCCGAGAGAGGCGGCGAUGACCCGGGAGGGUUCAGAUAACUCAGCGGCCACCGAAGUACCGACACGCCGGGGAUGUGCUCUGCGCGACCUCCUUGUCACUACCUUGAGCCCAAGACAUUUUCCUACAAAACUAUUGAGGGGGAAAUAAUUUAGGCAGAGGAUUUUCCUCCCCCUUUUGUAUUCGCAGGAGGAAUUUCUUUCAGCUUUUCUUUUCCCCUUUCGCUGGAUGUUGUGUUUGUUCUUCGGAGUGACUUAUUCACCCUUAGUUUUUAAAAUUUAAUUAAUUAAUUGCUUUUUUUAAACUUCUAAAACAUGAGAAUGUAUUUCUGAGCCUUACUCGACCCUUUAUUUUGGAUAUGUGAGAGGGGAAACGUUAGUGUCUCCGAAGGGUGUGUCUUCAAAUUCAC
Molecule: long non-coding RNA, 1128 nt
Filed under: Equus caballus (horse)
Lineage: Eukaryota; Metazoa; Chordata; Mammalia; Perissodactyla; Equidae
Description: lncRNA (ENSECAG00000045567.1)
Source: RNAcentral